GAUGAACGCUGGCGGCGUGCCUAAUACAUGCAAGUCGAGCGAACGGACGAGAAGCUUGCUUCUCUGAUGUUAGCGGCGGACGGGUGAGUAACACGUGGAUAACCUACCUAUAAGACUGGGAUAACUUCGGGAAACCGGAGCUAAUACCGGAUGAUAUUUUGAACCGCAUGGUUCAAAAGUGAAAGACGGUCUUGCUGUCACUUAUAGAUGGAUCCGCGCUGCAUUAGCUAGUUGGUAAGGCAACGGCUUACCAAGGCAACGAUGCAUAGCCGACCUGAGAGGGUGAUCGGCCACACUGGAACUGAGACACGGUCCAGACUCCUACGGGAGGCAGCAGUAGGGAAUCUUCCGCAAUGGGCGAAAGCCUGACGGAGCAACGCCGCGUGAGUGAUGAAGGUCUUCGGAUCGUAAAACUCUGUUAUUAGGGAAGAACAUAUGUGUAAGUAACUGUGCACAUCUUGACGGUACCUAAUCAGAAAGCCACGGCUAACUACGUGCCAGCAGCCGCGGUAAUACGUAGGUGGCAAGCGUUAUCCGGAAUUAUUGGGCGUAAAGCGCGCGUAGGCGGUUUUUUAAGUCUGAUGUGAAAGCCCACGGCUCAACCGUGGAGGGUCAUUGGAAACUGGAAAACUUGAGUGCAGAAGAGGAAAGUGGAAUUCCAUGUGUAGCGGUGAAAUGCGCAGAGAUAUGGAGGAACACCAGUGGCGAAGGCGACUUCUGGUCUGUAACUGACGCUGAUGUGCGAAAGCGUGGGGAUCAAACAGGAUUAGAUACCCUGGUAGUCCACGCCGUAAACGAUGAGUGCUAAGUGUUAGGGGGUUUCCGCCCCUUAGUGCUGCAGCUAACGCAUUAAGCACUCCGCCUGGGGAGUACGACCGCAAGGUUGAAACUCAAAGGAAUUGACGGGGACCCGCACAAGCGGUGGAGCAUGUGGUUUAAUUCGAAGCAACGUGAAGAACCUUACCAAAUCUUGACAUCCUUUGACAACUCUAGAGAUAGAGCCUUCCCCUUCGGGGGACAAAGUGACAGGUGGUGCAUGGUUGUCGUCAGCUCGUGUCGUGAGAUGUUGGGUUAAGUCCCGCAACGAGCGCAACCCUUAAGCUUAGUUGCCAUCAUUAAGUUGGGCACUCUAAGUUGACUGCCGGUGACAAACCGGAGGAAGGUGGGGAUGACGUCAAAUCAUCAUGCCCCUUAUGAUUUGGGCUACACACGUGCUACAAUGGACAAUACAAAGGGCAGCGAAACCGCGAGGUCAAGCAAAUCCCAUAAAGUUGUUCUCAGUUCGGAUUGUAGUCUGCAACUCGACUACAUGAAGCUGGAAUCGCUAGUAAUCGUAGAUCAGCAUGCUACGGUGAAUACGUUCCCGGGUCU
This 1371-nucleotide ribosomal RNA is filed under the name uncultured bacterium. RNAcentral describes it as "bacterial SSU rRNA". It matches the Rfam family "Bacterial small subunit ribosomal RNA", at positions 28 to 1381 of the family's 1533-position model. The record is from RNAcentral.